Molecule: long non-coding RNA, 887 nt
Organism: Ornithodoros turicata
Lineage: Eukaryota; Metazoa; Arthropoda; Arachnida; Ixodida; Argasidae
Exons: 2
Source: RefSeq, a predicted model, not a curated record
UUUCUGCUCAGUAAGGAAAGCUGAAACUGCUUUUACAUAGCCUCAAAUAUUCACAGCCAUUCUCUUGAUCAUCACUUCUAUUAUGCACGUGGAAGUCGUCGAGAAUGGUUGGAGCCUCCAGAUAUUGGCUUGAAAAACGUCAAGAGGGUUGUGUCGCAUCUUUUCUGCACUCUGGAAGUGGACAGAAUGGGCGCACCUUCGACAUUUUACCUUUAAAGUGAACAAGAGCACUGUCUCAUCUCUUUCUAUUCAGUGAGAAAAGGUGAAAGAAGCUAUUUGAAUGCUGGAUGUGGUGUUUUGGAUGUGAUGUUUUAACCCCUUGGUGUUUUUUAGGGUCAAAAUUGGAAGUUCUUUUUUCGCGUCCAGUUUUGUGCUAAGAUGAAAGCAGAGAUCCUGCUGUAUCUACGCUCCUGAUUCUAGCAAGAUUCGAGCACUUUUAUUUUUUUGCUGAAAAUGAAAAAAAAAUGCAAGCCUAACCCCUUGAUGUUUUUUAGGGUCAAAAUUUUAAGUUCUUUUCUCGCGUCCGGUUUUGUGCUAAGAUGAAAGCAGAGAUCCUGCUGUAUCUACGCUCCUGAUCUAGGCAAGAUUUGAGCACUUUUUCUUUUCUUUUUUUUUUUUUUGCUGAAAAUGAAAGAAACGCAAGCCUAACCCCUUGGUGUCUUUUAGGGUCGAAAUUCGAAGGCCGAAACUAGGCCUUAGACAAUGACUACUGUGCAGCAGAUAUGGAUCACGAAUAAGGACAUGUGGGACCUCUGGCUUCUGAGUAAGAAUGUCUGGUAGUGGAACGUCGUCUCCGUUUCCACCAGCCGAAUAUAUGCCUACUUCUCGUUGUAUCUGCCUACUUGUUUUCUCAGGAGAGUAAUAAAAAUUCAGCAAGCCGUGUUGUA